CCCAACAACACUUUAACACUUCAGAUGAGCCAACAAAGAGAUAAGGAGUUGUUAUCACAUCUCCAUGGCUCUCCUUAGGUAAUCCUGGGCUUUUCAUCCAUUCUUUCACCAGACACAUUUCGAUUGCAUGUGCAGGGAGAAGUAUAAAUGUUUUGCUUGCUGUUGCUUAAAGUUCAUUUGAACAGACGGAGCUCAAUGAAUUCCAUCUUCCGCAGCCAAAUUAAAUAGAAAACAGUGCAUUCUUAAGCAGUUCACACUUAACUCCACCUCUCAAAUCAGAGGAAAAAGCUGACGUGAAACCAGUUAAAGAACAGUCAUCCUCUCUCGCACGGAAAUCAAGACAUUGUGUUUCUGAAGCCAGACAGAAGGAAAAGUGGUUUCCAAUUAUGUGGGGGGCUCUAUAUCAACUUCACCAGCAUAUAUGGAUACUGGGGAAUAAUUGUGGGACAGUAAAGGCUGGCUGCACCAUGCAAUAAAAAUCAAUGAAGCAAGAUGCUGGUUGAUUUGUGGUUGUGGCUGAUUUACAAAGUCCUUCUCCCUGGUAAUUUACUAGAUCAAGGUAGCUUCUAUAAACCCAACCUGAAUGAAUAUGGAGUAAUACAGGAUUUGAGUUCCUGAGAUCUCCUAGACAUAAAAGAAGGAAGCAAGAAAAUAAGAGAUUAAAGACUGAGAACUAGCCUAUCAAAAAUGACACUGGAGACACGUGGCCUCUCUAUUUAUAAAAGAAGACCACUUAUAUGGGUUUCCUAUGGGCU
This 755-nucleotide long non-coding RNA is filed under the name Homo sapiens (human). RNAcentral's name for it is "HSALNT0393489". The record is from RNAcentral. Lineage: Eukaryota; Metazoa; Chordata; Mammalia; Primates; Hominidae.